RNAcentral lists this ribosomal RNA (434 nucleotides) under Alexandrium tamarense. Its description in RNAcentral is "partial Eukaryotic large subunit ribosomal RNA". It matches the Rfam family "Eukaryotic large subunit ribosomal RNA", at positions 2399 to 2828 of the family's 3401-position model. The record is from RNAcentral. Lineage: Eukaryota; Dinophyceae; Gonyaulacales; Pyrocystaceae.
GGGGAAAGAAGACCCUGUUGAGCUUGACUCUAGUCUGACGUUGUGAAAUGACUUGCUUGGUGCAGGCUAGGUGGGAGCUUCGGCGAAUAUGAGAAACCACCACUUGCAAGAUUGUUUUACUUAUUCCGUGAAGUAGAGCCCGGUCGGGGAGACUCGAUCGGUUCUGGAACGAACGGGGGCGCUUGCGCCCCCCGAUCUACGCGGAAGACAACGUCAGGUGGGGAGUUUGGCUGGGGCGGCACAUCUGUUAAACAAUAACACAGGUGUCCUAAGGUCAGCUCAAUGAGAACAGAAAUCUCAUGUGGAACAUAAGGGUAAAAGCUAACUUGAUUUUGAUUUUCAGUACGAAUACAAACUGUGAAAGCAUGGCCUAACGAUCCUUUAGUCUUUCGGAAUUUGAAGCUAGAGGUGUCAGAAAAGUUACCACAGGGAUA